CGUGUUGUCUGGCGAGGUGCGGCUAUAUUGCGAAGGGUGGUAGGUGUGGUCGGUUGUCAUGGGUGUAAAGCGGGUGUCUGCGGCCCUGGUUGUCGCGUGGGAAGGCCCCGGUGUCAACCUGGGAACGGCUCGCGGUACGGCGGGGCUAGAGAUCGGGAGAGGAGCGUGGAAUUCCCAGUGUAGAGGUGAAAUUCGUAGAUAUUGGGAAGAACACCGGUGGCGAAGGCGGCGCUCUGGACCGAGACUGACGCUGAGGCGCGAAAGCGUGGGGGGCAAACAGGAUUAGAUACCCUAGUAGUC
Molecule: ribosomal RNA, 300 nt
Filed under: uncultured Collinsella sp.
Lineage: Bacteria; Bacillati; Actinomycetota; Coriobacteriia; Coriobacteriales; Coriobacteriaceae
Description: bacterial SSU rRNA
Rfam family: Bacterial small subunit ribosomal RNA (bases 60-300)
Source: RNAcentral